CCCUACGGGGGGCAGCAGUGGGGGAUAUUGCACAAUGGGGGAAACCCUGAUGCAGCGACGCCGCGUGGGUGAGGAAGCGCCUCGGCGCGUAAAGCCCUGUCAGCAGGGAAGAAAAUGACGGUACCUGAAGAAGAAGCCCCGGCUAACUACGUGCCAGCAGCCGCGGUAAUACGGAGGGGGCAAGCGUUAUCCGGAUUUACUGGGUGUAAAGGGGGCGCAGACGGCGAUGCAAGCCAGGAGUGAAAGCCCGGGGUCCAACCCCGGGACUGCUCUUGGAACUGCGGGGCUAGAGUGCAGGAGGGGCA
This 305-nucleotide ribosomal RNA is filed under the name uncultured bacterium. RNAcentral's name for it is "bacterial SSU rRNA". It matches the Rfam family "Bacterial small subunit ribosomal RNA", at positions 337 to 659 of the family's 1533-position model. The record is from RNAcentral.